GACGAACGCUGGCGGCGUGCUUAACACAUGCAAGUCGAGCGAGCCUUCGGGCUAGCGGCGAACGGGUGAGUAACACGUGGGCAACCUGCCCUCAGCUCUGGGAUAAGCCCGGGAAACCGGGUCUAAUACCGGAUACGACCUUGUGAGGCAUCUCAUCGAGGUGGAAAGAUUUAUCGGCUGAGGAUGGGCCCGCGGCCUAUCAGCUUGUUGGUGGGGUCACGGCCCACCAAGGCGACGACGGGUAGCCGGCCUGAGAGGGCGACCGGCCACACUGGGA
This 277-nucleotide ribosomal RNA is filed under the name uncultured bacterium. RNAcentral describes it as "partial 16S ribosomal RNA". It matches the Rfam family "Bacterial small subunit ribosomal RNA", at positions 28 to 318 of the family's 1533-position model. The record is from RNAcentral.